Camellia sinensis is the source of this 1013-nucleotide non-coding RNA. Lineage: Eukaryota; Viridiplantae; Streptophyta; Magnoliopsida; Ericales; Theaceae. The record is from RefSeq and is a predicted model, not a curated record.
AAUAGAGACGGGAGGGAGAUGAUGAAUUGUAUCAAAAAAUUGAUAGAGAAAUCUGUGAGUUGAGUGAGUUUUUUCUCCUCUGUUUUUGUAUUUUGCUCAAUUUUAGUGAUUCUCUUUUCUGCUUCGUGGACAUAGGCAUUGGGCCGAACCAUGUAAAGUUUGUGUUCUCUGUGUGUUUGUUGUUUAUUAAUUUUGGGUGUCCAUAAUCUUAACAAGAAGCUUCCUACUGGAGCCUCUGUUGUUAAGGUGUAUUCAACAUGUCAAUUUCAAACUUCUUCUGCACAUGAUUUUUAUAUCACACACAUCUAUCCUCAUCUAAAUAAGAAAAUAUGUGCACCUUUGUCAUAUAUAUUUUUUUGAAUGAUGGUUUAGGGGCCAACUAAAAAGGAGCAAAUUGAUGUUCAAGGAGACAUAUCCUAUGACAUCGUGGAGCUCAUUACGGAUUCUUGGCCUGAUGUAAGUUAUCAUUCACAUCUUCUCUCUUUAUCAUCACGUUUUCGGUUUAGACAAUAUUUUCAUUUGGGAAAAUUUUCAGGUGGGUCGGGAAUUUAAACAUGGCAUGUCUGUUCAAUUUUUAAUGGCCAUGUGUUCAAGUUGUUCCUAUUUUUCCUCAAAAAUGAUUGCAUGCCCCCCAUAUUGUUGGGUAGGCAUAUGACCAUGUGGUGUUUCCGAUAAUCAUUUCUAGGUUUGUGAGACCGGCACGUCAUAUUGGCCUCUUUUAUGAAAUGGUGGGGUGCCAGAAGCUGCAAAUUUUUUUAUUGAAAGAUGGAAAGAAAGUUCCGGCAUGUUGAAAUUUAAUUUGGAAAGUUUUCUGUAGCGGCGUUUUAUUCAUUAAUUUAGAAAGAAAUUUAGAAAGGGAAAAGUUGUGUAAAAUAUAAUUAUAUUUAUAUUUUUCUUUUCUUUUUUUUUUUAAAUCGUUACUCAAAUUCAUGAAUCAAACGGAUCAUUAAUGUUAUGCUCUUCUCUGCUUUUGUUACUCAAAUUAAUAUAUGAGAUUAAUAGUUAAUGUGUGG